Molecule: non-coding RNA, 142 nt
Organism: Actinomyces denticolens
Lineage: Bacteria; Bacillati; Actinomycetota; Actinomycetes; Actinomycetales; Actinomycetaceae
Source: Rfam
AACGUGCUCCGGGGUCGGUGGAAAUCCGAGCCGGCGGUGAGAGUCCGCGACCCGAGCCCUCCGCCCGCCGGGCGGAUCGGCUCGGCUGAGCCGGUGGGAUUCCGGCACCGACGGUGAAAGUCCGGAUGGGAGGAAGCACGGG